ACGAACGCUGGCGGCGUGCUUAACACAUGCAAGUCGAACCGAAAGGCCCUGCUUUUGUGGGGUGCUCGAGUGGCGAACGGGUGAGUAACACGUGAGUAACCUGCCCUUGACUUUGGGAUAACUUCAGGAAACUGGGGCUAAUACCGGAUAGGAGCUCCUGCUGCAUGGUGGGGGUUGGAAAGUUUCGGCGGUUGGGGAUGGACUCGCGGCUUAUCAGCUUGUUGGUGGGGUAGUGGCUUACCGAGGCUUUGACGGGUAGCCGGCCUGAGAGGGUGACCGGCCACAUUGGGACUGAGAUACGGCCCAGACUCCUACGGGAGGCAGCAGUGGGGAAUAUUGCACAAUGGGCGGAAGCCUGAUGCAGCAACGCCGCGUGCGGGAUGACGGCCUUCGGGUUGUAAACCGCUUUCGCCUGUGACGAAGCGUGAGUGACGGUAAUGGGUAAAGAAGCACCGGCUAACUACGUG
RNAcentral lists this ribosomal RNA (467 nucleotides) under uncultured bacterium. RNAcentral describes it as "partial 16S ribosomal RNA". It matches the Rfam family "Bacterial small subunit ribosomal RNA", at positions 29 to 507 of the family's 1533-position model. The record is from RNAcentral.